Molecule: ribosomal RNA, 233 nt
Filed under: uncultured bacterium
Lineage: Bacteria
Description: partial 16S ribosomal RNA
Rfam family: Bacterial small subunit ribosomal RNA
Source: RNAcentral
UAGGGAAUCUUCCACAAUGGACGCAAGUCUGAUGGAGCAACGCCGCGUGAGUGAAGAAGGCUUUCGGGUCGUAAAACUCUGUUAUUGAAGAAGAACGUGUGUGACAGUAACUGGUCAUGCAGUGACGGUAUUCAAUCAGAAAGUCACGGCUAACUACGUGCCAGCAGCCGCGGUAAUACGUAGGUGGCAAGCGUUGUCCGGAUUUAUUGGGCGUAAAGCGAGUGCAGGCGGUC